This 704-nucleotide ribosomal RNA is filed under the name Escherichia coli. Its description in RNAcentral is "partial 23S ribosomal RNA". It matches the Rfam family "Bacterial large subunit ribosomal RNA", at positions 2034 to 2737 of the family's 2925-position model. Lineage: Bacteria; Pseudomonadati; Pseudomonadota; Gammaproteobacteria; Enterobacterales; Enterobacteriaceae. The record is from RNAcentral.
CAGUGAAAUUGAACUCGCUGUGAAGAUGCAGUGUACCCGCGGCAAGACGGAAAGACCCCGUGAACCUUUACUAUAGCUUGACACUGAACAUUGAGCCUUGAUGUGUAGGAUAGGUGGGAGGCUUUGAAGUGUGGACGCCAGUCUGCAUGGAGCCGACCUUGAAAUACCACCCUUUAAUGUUUGAUGUUCUAACGUUGACCCGUAAUCCGGGUUGCGGACAGUGUCUGGUGGGUAGUUUGACUGGGGCGGUCUCCUCCUAAAGAGUAACGGAGGAGCACGAAGGUUGGCUAAUCCUGGUCGGACAUCAGGAGGUUAGUGCAAUGGCAUAAGCCAGCUUGACUGCGAGCGUGACGGCGCGAGCAGGUGCGAAAGCAGGUCAUAGUGAUCCGGUGGUUCUGAAUGGAAGGGCCAUCGCUCAACGGAUAAAAGGUACUCCGGGGAUAACAGGCUGAUACCGCCCAAGAGUUCAUAUCGACGGCGGUGUUUGGCACCUCGAUGUCGGCUCAUCACAUCCUGGGGCUGAAGUAGGUCCCAAGGGUAUGGCUGUUCGCCAUUUAAAGUGGUACGCGAGCUGGGUUUAGAACGUCGUGAGACAGUUCGGUCCCUAUCUGCCGUGGGCGCUGGAGAACUGAGGGGGGCUGCUCCUAGUACGAGAGGACCGGAGUGGACGCAUCACUGGUGUUCGGGUUGUCAUGCCAAUGGCA